GUGUGUGUGUGUGCGCGCGCGCGCGUGCAUUUGCGUGUGCGUUUGUGAGAUCUGGGGAGGGGGGAGAGCAGUUGUAGACAGAGUAGACAGAAGCGCCUGUCUGCUCACAGAUCGCGAGCUGCCUUUUGAGUCAUACAGAAUAUAUUGUGUGAAAUAUAGGAAUCUAUUAAUUCAUAUCGACUGGGUGAUUUAUAUUUGUUGCCAUUGUGAUGGAAUUAAUCGGUCGUGAAUUGUGCAAAAGCGAUUACUCAGUCACAGCGGUUAAGAGCUGUGAUUUAAGAAUGAAAUACUAGUAGCCAAAAUCCCUGUUGUAUCUUCGUGCGUAAAACGUCAUAAUUCGUCUUCAUGGACAUUCUAUAAUGUUGGCAUUCAUUUCAAUAUGUAUGCCUAUGUCAUCAAACACUGGAUGUCUAAAGGCACAGUUAAGAUAGUAUCUAGAUUUGAUAAUUAUGUGCUUAGUUUUUGUUGUGCGUUUAAGUCUGGUCGAAAUGCUGGUGUUCAAAUACCCUAACCCUAACCUUACACGUUUCUUUAUGGAUCCUAAUGCGUAGAACCAAACUAAAGCGACCAGCGUUACAAUGUCUUCACCGGUAAGAGUAUAUCGGAGGCAAAAUAGACCUGUUCAUGUUCAUACAUAAACACACACUGGUCAAAGAUGGAGCCUGUCAGCCUUUCUUUAGACGCCUCAGAUCGCCCGCUGUGAUGCAGUCGCCAUGACAACGGUCGUUUCCUAGUCACCGUUGCCAUGGCACCUCUGUUUCCACAGUAACCUUCCAGAUGGCCCGGAUUGGAAUAUACGCUGAAGAUUCCUAUCUAAAAGGCUCAUCUUCGGUUAAUUAAACAAGACUGCUUUUAACCCACGCUGUGCCGGAGUAAAGUGUCAGAUCAUCCAAAAUAAACAACACAAGCCCAACUCGCUCACAUUCUGUAUUGAAUUGGAUAUGACAUUUUAGUAUGGACACCCGGGUCCAAAAUAUCACCAGUGAUCACAACCCAUAAGCAAAGCACCAAAUCAUGAUAGCCGCCACCCUCUGAAUUGAGAGACGGAGGACCGAGCUUCGACGGAUGUGGAAUUAUGAAUGAAUGGAGGAGGAGGUACAUGGCUGCCGUCCUAGCUGCGGUAUCCUCUUCUAUCCGGCAGAGGGUGCUGUUAACCCACUGAUAACAUCGGAGUUCACACUAAGGACGCACACUUCGGCCUUCACCUCUGUCAACCAAUGGAAACACAAUAUCAAGGGGCCAGAAUGGACAAGAAUGGGAAUACAGGGAGUAAAACAAGACUCAACUGGUUCUCUGCCUUUGCGAAGAACAACCAUUGCAUACUGGUUCAGCCAAUAAUACGUUUUCCAUGAAUGAGUGUUAUGUCACUAAGUGUUUUGACAGUUGAGUCCUUUGUGGAGUCCAUUACAGCAAUGUGGAUUUUCCCAGGAUGGACCGGGAUCUCGGAAAGGGACAUUUGCAAUAUAAAGACGAUGCUGGAUUCAAAUCUAUACAUUCACCAAUAGAAUCACAAAAACAAUCCAAAACAUUUCACUAGUACACUUUGGCCGCAAACAUGGUUUUGGGCCCCACUGUUUACUCCAUCUUGUUUGUUUUAUGGGAAGUAAUAUUUAUUCAAGGCAGACAAUAGCUUUGGAGUGUAUAGUCAAGGUUGGAGGUGAAAAAAUAAAAGUAAUAGUGAAUUGCUUUUCGCGGUAGCUUUCCUGUAUAAUGUUACGAUACAAAUCGAGGACUGUUAGCCAUAUGCCUUCAAUUUUCUCAGUGUGCUCUGUAUUGCUACUGUGUGAAGAGACAAACACUUCCAUGAGCUGGUUGCUGCUAUUUCCCCGACACAUUGAGAACGACGCACACAAACACACACAUACACACCAAACACUCAGACACACACACCCAAAUGGACACAAACCUGUAGAGAGCUUAAUUUGGUUCCACACUGCCUGGAUGUGUUUUUUUAAAUGAGCCCCAACAUGUCAGGGGAAGGUUAUUCAUGCCACUAUUUGUGUGAUUGCGCUGUGUUAUAUUAAACAUGACCUGUAGGAACA
Molecule: long non-coding RNA, 2042 nt
Organism: Gadus morhua (Atlantic cod)
Lineage: Eukaryota; Metazoa; Chordata; Actinopteri; Gadiformes; Gadidae
Exons: 3
Source: RefSeq, a predicted model, not a curated record